UAUUGCACAAUGGGCGCAAGCCUGAUGCAGCGACGCCGCGUGGGUGACGAAGGCCUUCGGGUCGUAAAGCCCUUUUCUGCGUGACGAGGCAAGGACGGUAGCGCAGGAAUAAGUCUCGGCUAACUACGUGCCAGCAGCCGCGGUAAAACGUAGGAGACAAACGUUAUCCGGAGUUACUGGGCGUAAAGGGCGUGCAGGCGGUCUGUUAAGUCCGGCGUGAAAGCUCCCGGCUAAACCGGGAGAGGUCGUUGGAGACUGGCAGGCUAGAGGACGGUAGAGGCGUGUGGAAUUCCGGGUGUAGUGGUGAAAUGCGUAGAGAUCCGGAGGAACACCAGUGGCGAAGGCGACACGCUGGGCCGUACCUGACGCUAAGACGCGACAGCAUGGGGAGCGAACGGG
RNAcentral lists this ribosomal RNA (399 nucleotides) under uncultured bacterium. RNAcentral's name for it is "bacterial SSU rRNA". It matches the Rfam family "Bacterial small subunit ribosomal RNA", at positions 362 to 776 of the family's 1533-position model. The record is from RNAcentral.